Molecule: ribosomal RNA, 330 nt
Filed under: Triticum aestivum (bread wheat)
Lineage: Eukaryota; Viridiplantae; Streptophyta; Magnoliopsida; Poales; Poaceae
Description: partial small subunit ribosomal RNA
Source: RNAcentral
AUGUUACCAUUACAUAUCUGCAACUGCAGAAGAAGAUUUUCUUCUUCAUCAAUACCCAUACAUUGGUCCUUGUCAGAUCAGAAGGCGAAGAGCAGUGCAUCUCACCUCCCCACACUCUGUUCCAUCUAUGAGAGUGUGAUCAACAUGGAUUGCGUUGCCGGGAAGGGGGAAAUAAUAGUAGGUGGUGGCUGCGCCGCCGAGGAUGAGCAGGGCGUAGCCACCAACGUACUUGUGCGUACUUGUGGGGGUUGGUGUUGGAGGAGACGGGAGGACACAGACGUUGUGGUCGCAGUUGGGGCUGCUGAAGCAAGAAUACAGGGGAGGCAGUGA